RNAcentral lists this long non-coding RNA (543 nucleotides) under Pan troglodytes (chimpanzee). RNAcentral describes it as "lincRNA". The record is from RNAcentral. Lineage: Eukaryota; Metazoa; Chordata; Mammalia; Primates; Hominidae.
GUGCAGUGGUGUGAUCUCGGCUCACUGUGACCUCUGCCUCCUGGGUUUAAGCGAUUCUCCUGCCUCAGCCUCCCGAGUAACUGGGACUACAGCUGCAGGAAACAGAAAAUGCACUGCCUAGAUGGACCCUCUGACUCCCCACCACCCAGGCUGGAGCGGCAGAGGCUGCCAGGAAGAGCCAGAAAACAGGUGAACCCAAGGCCACUCCCUCCCCAGCCUGAGGAACACUCGACUGGUAAGGGGAGAAAUGCCUCAAAUGAGCAUGUGCACAACUUCAGUAAACAUGCUGUGCAUGUGGCCCCUCCCAAGUGCCCGCAGGCCACCACGCAAGUGGACAGCCCUGGACAGCCUGCCCCUAGGGAAGAAUCAAGGGAGGAGAAACAGAAGCCCUGGAACUGUGCUAGUAUAUAAAACCCCAAGUCAAGGGCCGAAUGGCAAACUUGGAUCUCUCAAGUCACCUGCUUGGCCCCCUUCCAAGUGUACUUUACUUCCAUUUGUUCCUGCUCUAAAACUUUUUAAUAAACUUUCACUCCUGCUCUAAAA